This 1476-nucleotide ribosomal RNA is filed under the name Escherichia coli. RNAcentral describes it as "bacterial SSU rRNA". It matches the Rfam family "Bacterial small subunit ribosomal RNA". The record is from RNAcentral. Lineage: Bacteria; Pseudomonadati; Pseudomonadota; Gammaproteobacteria; Enterobacterales; Enterobacteriaceae.
AAGCAGCUUGCUGCUUUGCUGACGAGUGGCGGACGGGUGAGUAAUGUCUGGGAAACUGCCUGAUGGAGGGGGAUAACUACUGGAAACGGUAGCUAAUACCGCAUAACGUCGCAAGACCAAAGAGGGGGACCUUAGGGCCUCUUGCCAUCGGAUGUGCCCAGAUGGGAUUAGCUAGUAGGUGGGGUAACGGCUCACCUAGGCGACGAUCCCUAGCUGGUCUGAGAGGAUGACCAGCCACACUGGAACUGAGACACGGUCCAGACUCCUACGGGAGGCAGCAGUGGGGAAUAUUGCACAAUGGGCGCAAGCCUGAUGCAGCCAUGCCGCGUGUAUGAAGAAGGCCUUCGGGUUGUAAAGUACUUUCAGCGGGGAGGAAGGGAGUAAAGUUAAUACCUUUGCUCAUUGACGUUACCCGCAGAAGAAGCACCGGCUAACUCCGUGCCAGCAGCCGCGGUAAUACGGAGGGUGCAAGCGUUAAUCGGAAUUACUGGGCGUAAAGCGCACGCAGGCGGUUUGUUAAGUCAGAUGUGAAAUCCCCGGGCUCAACCUGGGAACUGCAUCUGAUACUGGCAAGCUUGAGUCUCGUAGAGGGGGGUAGAAUUCCAGGUGUAGCGGUGAAAUGCGUAGAGAUCUGGAGGAAUACCGGUGGCGAAGGCGGCCCCCUGGACGAAGACUGACGCUCAGGUGCGAAAGCGUGGGGAGCAAACAGGAUUAGAUACCCUGGUAGUCCACGCCGUAAACGAUGUCGACUUGGAGGUUGUGCCCUUGAGGCGUGGCUUCCGGAGCUAACGCGUUAAGUCGACCGCCUGGGGAGUACGGCCGCAAGGUUAAAACUCAAAUGAAUUGACGGGGGCCCGCACAAGCGGUGGAGCAUGUGGUUUAAUUCGAUGCAACGCGAAGAACCUUACCUGGUCUUGACAUCCACGGAAGUUUUCAGAGAUGAGAAUGUGCCUUCGGGAACCGUGAGACAGGUGCUGCAUGGCUGUCGUCAGCUCGUGUUGUGAAAUGUUGGGUUAAGUCCCGCAACGAGCGCAACCCUUAUCCUUUGUUGCCAGCGGUCCGGCCGGGAACUCAAAGGAGACUGCCAGUGAUAAACUGGAGGAAGGUGGGGAUGACGUCAAGUCAUCAUGGCCCUUACGACCAGGGCUACACACGUGCUACAAUGGCGCAUACAAAGAGAAGCGACCUCGCGAGAGCAAGCGGACCUCAUAAAGUGCGUCGUAGUCCGGAUUGGAGUCUGCAACUCGACUCCAUGAAGUCGGAAUCGCUAGUAAUCGUGGAUCAGAAUGCCACGGUGAAUACGUUCCCGGGCCUUGUACACACCGCCCGUCACACCAUGGGAGUGGGUUGCAAAAGAAGUAGGUAGCUUAACCUUCGGGAGGGCGCUUACCACUUUGUGAUUCAUGACUGGGGUGAAGUCGUAACAAGGUAACCGUAGGGGAACCUGCGGUUGGAUCACCUCCUUACCUUAAAGAA